This 285-nucleotide unclassified non-coding RNA is filed under the name Hevea brasiliensis (rubber tree). The record is from RNAcentral. Lineage: Eukaryota; Viridiplantae; Streptophyta; Magnoliopsida; Malpighiales; Euphorbiaceae.
GAGGCCAUUUACAACAAAUUUGGCCAGAAAAGGCGUUGGAAGGUUAGACCAUUGAAAUGUUUCCAGAAUUUCGAGGCCAUGUGGAAGAAAGAAAACUCAAGUUCAAGUAGGAAUGGAUCAUCGCGAUCAAACAGCAGUAUCUAACAAAUUGUGGAUAUUUCCUUUGUUCAAGUGUGCAUAUAUGUUUCCUUCACAGAUUUCUGCCAAAUAUAUCAGUAGUAGGAAGUUGUAUCACUUUUUCUAGCUUUAAAUCUCUAGAUGUCCAAAACAAAUGGUCAUCCUUUU